UGGGGAAUAUUGCACAAUGGGCGCAAGCCUGAUCCAGCAAUGCCGCGUGAACGAUGAAGGUCUUCGGAUCGUAAAGUUCUGUUGCUGGGGAAGAUAAUGACGGUACCCCGUGAGGAAGCCCCGGCUAACUACGUGCCAGCAGCCGCGGUAAUACGUAGGGGGCUAGCGUUAUCCGGAUUUACUGGGCGUAAAGGGGGCGUAGGUGGUCUUUCAAGUCGGUGGUUAAAGGCUACGGCUCAACCGUAGUUAGCCUCCGAAACUGGAAGACUUGAGUGCAGGAGAGGAAAGUGGAAUUCCCAGUGUAGCGGUGAAAUGCGUAGAUAUUGGGAGGAACACCAGUGGCGAAGGCGGCUUUCUGGACUGCAACUGACACUGAGGCACGAAAGCGUGGGUAGCAAACAGG
Molecule: ribosomal RNA, 403 nt
Filed under: Verrucomicrobiota bacterium
Lineage: Bacteria; Pseudomonadati; Verrucomicrobiota
Description: Verrucomicrobia bacterium partial 16S ribosomal RNA
Rfam family: Bacterial small subunit ribosomal RNA
Source: RNAcentral